This is a long non-coding RNA of Chenopodium quinoa (quinoa), 931 nucleotides long. RefSeq lists it as uncharacterized. Lineage: Eukaryota; Viridiplantae; Streptophyta; Magnoliopsida; Caryophyllales; Amaranthaceae. The transcript has 2 exons. The record is from RefSeq and is a predicted model, not a curated record.
UUAAAAAAAAAACCAGGCUUCUCGUAUUUCUUCUUCUUUUCUUUCCCCCUGAUUUUUCUACUUGUUUUUUCCCUCGUUCUCACCUUCUCUUCCAGGCCACCACCUCCGAAUUCCCACCUUUUCCAUUGAAGCCGUUUUUGAGCUCUCUCUCACUCCAUUGAAGCAGUUGCAUGCACCUCCUUCUCUGACCAUAUCUCUCCUCCAUUGAACUCGUGCUCUCUAUUCUCCAUUGAAGCGCAUUCUGAGUUUUCUCACCUCCAUUGAAGCAGCUUCGAGGUUCUUGCUGAAAAAGCUUAUCUUGUGGGUGUGGAGCAAAAAGGUAUUAAAGUGGAUUCUUUUGGAAUAGAAGAAUCUCUGAAAGAAUUGGCUCAACUAGCUGACACAGCAGGUCUUCAGGUUGUUGGCUCUACUUAUCAAAAGUGAGUAUGUCGUGGGUUUUUCUAUUGCAUAAUGUGGUUACGCUAUAAGUUGCAAUGUGCAUAUACUUAAGACAGUACAAUUAGCUAAUUGGAGAUUUAUAUUAUCUGUGCAUGCCCUAAAUCUUCCAGUUAACAUGUUAUAUAUCUCUGUCACUCUGUGUGUGACUGUGAAAGUUGGGGAAGGGUUGGAGAAUUGAAUGGGGGAGUGUCGCUUAAAACGAUAAUGUAACUCUUUUAAUUAGAGCUUAAGGGGUUUCAGUGAGUUGAUUUUGUAUCUGUUGUAAUUCUUUGUAAGUGAAAAGCACUUGUAACUUAAGGCAUGUUAUGUGUCAUCUGGGAACAUGGCCUCCAAAGCAGCUACAAUUCAAUUAAAAGCUUUAGUACCUCCGUUUUAACUUGUUAAGAUAGAGAUUGUUAAACAAAACUCAGAUUACUUUACCAAGUGUGUAUUGACUUAUGAGUUUUUGUCAUAUAGUUUACAUAUGUCUUCUAUCAAAUACAUUUCUCCUUUA